The sequence is a regulatory RNA element, 135 nucleotides long. It matches the Rfam family "TPP riboswitch aptamer (THI element)". Rfam says of the family: Vitamin B(1) in its active form thiamin pyrophosphate (TPP) is an essential coenzyme that is synthesised by coupling of pyrimidine and thiazole moieties in bacteria. The record is from Rfam.
GAUAGCUUGACGGGGUGCCGGUGGAACCGGCUGAGAUCGUCCUGCGCCGCGACUCAUACGAAGCGCGGCGCCACGACGGAUCCCGACGAACCUGAUCCGGCUAGUACCGGCGUAGGGAUCAAGCGGAGACCGCGG